CAGGUUAAUGAUUUUUUAAAUCCCUGUUUGGUCUUGGUGUAGAUUCAAAAAGAGUGAACCAGGAAACAUCAUGUAAUUGAAACACUUUUAGCUUAGAAAAGAGCAGAGCAGAGGGUAACUAGCUCAGAAUUUUUAGUUGGUGGCAUGUAUUUAUGAGAUGGAAAAGUCUAUGUCUGAGAGGGGACAGAGGCUUAUCUUCUAGCGUGGAAAGGAGAAGGGGAUGGAAGAAUCACUGAAGAGGAGAAUACAGACCAAUCUCACUCCCGUGACCCCACCCAGAAGUGAUUCAAUGCAAGAGGACAGCUUGGAUCUCCUAUGACUUCAUCUCUGCCCCAACCCAUCAGCAGCAAGCACUCAUUGCCUAGCAACCACCGGCCCUUACCCCACACUGUCUUUGAAAAGCUCCUGCUUAUGAGCCUUGGAUGAGACUGAUUUGAGUGUUAACUCCACCUCCCACGUGGCGUGGCUGGCCUCCUGUCUGUGAAACUCUUUCUUUAUUGCAGUGUUGUGGUCUUUAUUUGCGCAGUGGGCAGGAAGAACCCCUUGGGUAGUUACAAAAGGUCACCUGGAAAUGAAGUGACAACUAAUUAGGUAUGAAUCAACAUGGUGAGCAAAGGUCAGGGGAGAGGUUCACACUGCGGUGAUGGAUGGUCUCAAGGGGUUGGGUCGGAUUUGCAGUAAAAGAGAUUUUCCUGGAAUCUGAGUGAUGAAGAAUAACUUGCAAAUGCAAACUUGUUUCUCCUGCUGAUGCGUUCCUAGUCUAUAAUUGAAGAAGUGUGGGUCUGCUGUCUCAUUAUGGUAAAGUCUACACUUAGGAAACCCUCAGACAUACUCUUUGAUCAAAAUGAUGCUCAUAACAUUCUGUUUUUUCAAGGCCGAAGGAUCAGUGCCCCCCGCCCCACUCUUGUCCAUUACCGAGAGCAUCCUCACAGUCCAUUGGAAAGUCCAUCAUGAAGUAACGAAUUUGUUCUCUGUGUUUAUCACCUGAAUAAUAGAUUCAGGGCCCAUCAUCUCCUGGAAAGCUAUUAAUCAUACACUGCAGUGUGGCACAGGUUUGAUGGGUUGGCCUCAAAACCAUGCCUGGCUGGAUUGGAAUUGUGGAUGAUGUUCAAUAACUGCCUUCAGAAACUAUUCAAGACAUUUAAUGAAGACACUUUUUUCUCCAUGUUUCUCUUAGGGACAAAAAAUAUAGCCAAUAGCUUUUUCCUCCUGAUUGCAAGUGCUUUCCGAAAUCCUCUGUCUUCUUAAUGGAAGAAGAUUUCUAUCUUGGCUCCUAUUAUUUGAGAGAUGUGAAAAGCAGAUUCUCCAAAUAUAUGUGAGAAACAAAACAAAAAAACCAUUUAUGAAAAGUACAAAAAGUCGCACACAUAAUAAAAGCUAAGCCCUUCCUUUCUUCCUCCUUGGUUAACUUUGGAGCCUUGAUAAAAGACAAUCUGAACAAAGAGCUCUUUAGAACAACUACAAAAAGUUUCACAAAUGCAGCGAGCAAUUACAAACUCUGUUUCAAUGGGCCUCAGAGCCACACAUAGAGAGCCAGGGUUGCCCAAGGCCGUUUCCAAGAACAUUUCUGAAGUUGGGCUUAAAACAAUUUGUUUCCAUUAUCUUUUACUCAAGGUGGGUUCUGGAAUAAUCUAUGGAAUCAUUUGCAAAAUUCAGCAUAAACUUCUCCUUGCAGAAACUCUGGUGACAUAUCAUUUGGCUGAAUCUCACAUGAUAGAUACUAAUGAGAAAUGCGAGCAUGGGUUUGAUAUAGUAUGGGCUUCCUUUUUGUAGCUAAGACAAGCCAAUUCCUGAGAAGACAUGGAUUAAAAAAAAUUGUGUCAUAUUCAUCAUUAGACACCCUUGUAUUUAAUCUACUGUACAUGUCUAAAUAAAAUUGCAAAGUGACAGGAUUCAACUUCGCAUUAAUCAUCACUUGAAAAUGGGGAGAGUGAGAAAGGAUGGCAUCUCCUUGGGGCCCAUGGACAAGGAGAAGUUUCAAAUUAUUAAGCAGAGAAAACGGAAUGUGGCUUUGCAAAGGCAAGUCAGAGCAAGCUCGCUCCAGUCUGGAGUUGUUCAAAAGGUAUAGCAGUGGCGGCAGCUGAAAAAAACCUUGAUUCUAUGAACUCACUCACGCAAUUUAAAGUCCAAAGCAUGGCUUCAUAUGUUUGAAAAACUCUAGUAUAUAGUGUGCAUUUUAAUUAUAAAAGUCAAUCAGCCAGGCACGGUGGCUCACACCUGUAAUCCCAGCACUUUGGGAGGCCGAGGUGGGCAGAUCACCUGAGGUUGGGAGUUCAAGACCAGUCUGACCAACAUGGAGAAACUAUGUCUCUAUUAAAAAUACAAAAUUAGCAGGCACGUGCCUGUAAUCCCAGCUGCUCGGGAGGCUGACGCAGAAUUGCUUGAACCCAGGUGGCGGAUGUUGCGGUGAGCCGUGAGCCAAGAUUGCACCACUGCAGUCCAGCCUGGGCAACAAGAGCAAAUCUGUCUCAAAACAAACAAACAAACAAACAAACAAAAAUCUAAAAGGACUUUUCUACUUUAUGGAAAUUUUAACUUUUUUAUUAUAAAGGUAUUCAGCUGGUAUCAUGGUGCAAAGGAGGUUGCUGCCUCCCCUGCUUUGACCUCACUGUCCUUUGCAACUCUUGCACUGUCUCAUCCCAUCUGAAUGUCUGCUUCUUGGAGGACUCGAAAUAACACAUUUGUCAGGCCUCUGAGCCAAAGCUCAGCCAUUGUAACCCCAGCGACCUGCACAUAUACGUCCAGAUGGCCCACAGGAGCCAAGAAGUCUGGAGUAGCCGAAAAACCACAAAGAAGUGAAACAGACAGUUCCUGCCUUAACUAAUUAACCCACCUUACGACAUUCUACCAUUAAGACUUGUUCCUGCCCCGCCCCAACUGAUCGAUCGACCCUGUGACAUUCUUCUGGACAAUGAGUCCCAUGAUCUCUCCACCAUGCACCUUGUGACCCCCCGCCUCCCCUGCUGACAACAGAUAACCACCUUUAACUGUAGCUUUCCACUGCCUACCCAGGCCCUAUAAAGCUGCCCCUGUCCUAUCUCCCUUCACUGACUCUCUUU
RNAcentral lists this long non-coding RNA (3059 nucleotides) under Homo sapiens (human). Its description in RNAcentral is "HSALNT0197234". The record is from RNAcentral. Lineage: Eukaryota; Metazoa; Chordata; Mammalia; Primates; Hominidae.